This 513-nucleotide ribosomal RNA is filed under the name uncultured bacterium. RNAcentral describes it as "partial 16S ribosomal RNA". It matches the Rfam family "Bacterial small subunit ribosomal RNA", at positions 30 to 523 of the family's 1533-position model. The record is from RNAcentral.
AUUGAACGCUGGCGGCAUGCCUAACACAUGCAAGUCGAACGGCAGCACAGUAAAGAUUUCGGUCUUUAUGGGUGGCGAGUGGCGGACGGGUGAGUAAUGCGUAGGAAUCUGUCCUGGAGAGUAGGAUAACCCGAGGAAACUCGGGCUAAUACUGCAUGAUAUCGAGAGAUCAAAGGCAGGGGACCCUACGGGGCCUUGCGCACUAGGACGAGCCUACGUCGGAAUAGGUGGUUGGUGGGGUAAAGGCCUACCAAGGCGACGAUCCGUAGCUGGUCUGAGAGGAUGACCAGCCACACUGGGACUGAGACACGGCCCAGACUCCUACGGGAGGCAGCAGUGGGGAAUCUUGGACAAUGGGGGAAACCCUGAUCCAGCGAUGCCGCGUGUGUGAAGAAGGCCUUCGGGUUGUAAAGCACUUUAGUUGGGGAAGAAAAGUAAUGAGUGAAUAACUGAUUGCUCUGACGGUACCCAAAGAAUAAGCACCGGCUAACUCUGUGCCAGCAGCCGCCGUAA